RNAcentral lists this microRNA precursor (205 nucleotides) under Oryza glumipatula. RNAcentral describes it as "MIR812 microRNA precursor family". It matches the Rfam family "MIR812 microRNA precursor family". Lineage: Eukaryota; Viridiplantae; Streptophyta; Magnoliopsida; Poales; Poaceae. The record is from Rfam by way of RNAcentral.
AAUAAGUGCUAUUUUGCACUGUUAUAUUCAACAUUUGAUCGUUCGCUUUAUUUGUUUUUUUGUAUAAUUAGUAUUUUUUGUGUUAUUAGAUGAUAAAACAUGAAUAUUGCUUUAUGUGUGACUAUUUUUUAAAAAAAAUUCAUAAAAUUUUUAAAUAAUAUGGACGGUUAAAUGUUAGACACGAAUACCUAUGGUUGUAUUUAUU